This 796-nucleotide ribosomal RNA is filed under the name uncultured Glomeromycotina. RNAcentral describes it as "SSU rRNA". It matches the Rfam family "Eukaryotic small subunit ribosomal RNA", at positions 314 to 1114 of the family's 1831-position model. Lineage: Eukaryota; Fungi; Glomeromycota. The record is from RNAcentral.
AUCAACUUUCGAUGGUAGGAUAGAGGCCUACCAUGGUGGUAACGGGUAACGGGGUGUUAGGGCAUGACACCGGAGAGGGAGCCUGAGAAACGGCUACCACAUCCAAGGAUGGCAGCAGGUAUGCAAAUUAUCCAAUCCCGACAUGGGAAGGUAGUGACAAUAAAUAACAAUACGGGGUUCUUUCAGAUUUUGUAAUUGGAAUGAGUACAAUUUAAAUCUCUUAAUGAGGAACAAUUGGAGGGCAAGUCUGGUGCCAGCAGCCGCGGUAAUUCCAGCUCCAAUAGCGUAUAUUAAAGUUGCUGCAGUUAAAAAGCUCGUAGUUGAAUUUCGGGACCAUCAUGUCGGUCGUGCCUCAGUACAUACUGGCAUUGUUGGUUUCUCCCUUCUGACGAACCAUGAUGUCAUUUAUUUGGUGUUGUGGGGAAUCAGGACUGUUACUUUGAAAAAAUUAGUGUUUAAAGCAGGCUCACGCUUGAAUACAUUAGCAUGGAAUAAUGAAAUAAGAUGUUUGAUUUUAUUUUGUUGGUUUCUAGGACUGACGUAAUGAUUAAUAGGGAUAGUUGGGGGCAUUAGUAUUCAAUUGUAAGAGGUGAAAUUCUUGGAUUUAUUGAAGACUAACUACUGCGAAAGCAUUUGCCAAGGAUGUUUUCAUUAAUCAAGAACGAAAGUUAGGGGAUCGAAGACGAUCAGAUACCGUUGUAGUCUUAACCAUAAACUAUGCCGACUAGGGAUCGGAUGAUGUUAAUUUUUUAAUGACUCAUUUGGUGCCUUACGGGAAACCAAAGUGUUUGGGUUC